This 72-nucleotide transfer RNA is filed under the name Chelonia mydas (Green sea turtle). It matches the Rfam family "tRNA". Rfam says of the family: Transfer RNA (tRNA) molecules are approximately 80 nucleotides in length. Their secondary structure includes four short double-helical elements and three loops (D, anti-codon, and T loops). The record is from Rfam by way of RNAcentral. Lineage: Eukaryota; Metazoa; Chordata; Testudines; Cheloniidae.
CUCAGUGUAGCCUAGCGGAUAAAGCACUAGAGUGGGACUCAGGAGACCUGGGUUCUACUCCCAGCUCUGCCA